AAUCAACGCUGGCGGCGUGCCUAACACAUGCAAGUCGAACGCGAGAGGGGCUUCGGCCCCGAUUGAGUGGCGAACGGGUGAGUAACGCGUGGGUGACCUACCUUCGAGUGGGGGAUAACGUCCCGAAAGGGACGCUAAUACCGCAUAACAUCCUGCUUUUGAAUGGGUGGAGAUCAAAGCCGGGGAUCGCAAGACCUGGCGCUUGAUGAGGGGCCCGCGUCUGAUUAGCUAGUGGUGAGGUAACGGCCCACCAAGGCAACGAUCAGUAUCCGGCCUGAGGAGGG
RNAcentral lists this ribosomal RNA (284 nucleotides) under uncultured bacterium. Its description in RNAcentral is "partial 16S ribosomal RNA". It matches the Rfam family "Bacterial small subunit ribosomal RNA", at positions 32 to 300 of the family's 1533-position model. The record is from RNAcentral.